GUCUGGUGACCAGCAGACAUUUUCAGGGCUGUCAGAACGUACAGCCUCCCUUAGGAUUGAGUUAUAAUGGGAGCAUUCAGGGAUCCAUUGGCGGCAGUAAUUAAUCAUGCCGAGGAAGGUGAGCAACUCCUUCCGAGUAGUGGGUGUAGGAAUCCUCUGAAUGACCUCAAUACAUUUUGGACUCAAUUGUCUGGUGCCUAAAGCCAGAACAAAACCUAAGUAUUCAACCUUUGAUUUACACAAUUGCAUUUUGUGUUUAACAACCUUGUGACCCACAGUUGCUGACAGUAUCCACAGUGCUUGCCUCAUAGUUAGGGCUACAUAACAACAAAUCAUCAACAUUUUGCAAAAAGGACGGAACCAUGACCGGUGGUCCAUGUUUUUUAGAGUAUGUUAGAGUACCAACGAAUAAACAGCUGGGGAAUCCACAUAGCCUUGGGUAAGCGUGUCCAGGUAAACUGACAGCCUUCAAAAAGUAAAAACCAUAAGUAGCUGUGUCUCUUGAUCAAUAGGUAUAGAAAAAAUGCAUUACUUAAAUCAAUGACAGUGAAGCAAGUGGCAUCAUG
Molecule: non-coding RNA, 566 nt
Organism: Pelobates cultripes (western spadefoot toad)
Lineage: Eukaryota; Metazoa; Chordata; Amphibia; Anura; Pelobatidae
Source: the annotation of a GenBank genome assembly